AAACUCGCAUCUACGUCUCUAUACGGUUCUGCAUCCACGUACCGGUUCUAACUGAAGACCGUGAGAGUGGAGGUAGAUCUGCUUCAGUACAGAGAGAAAGAUCAGAUGAAGCUACUGAAAGAAAUUAUUCUGGUUGUUGUUCAAAAGAGAAGUGUUUCCAGGUUAUUGUAAAUGACCAGACUUCAGAGAAUGGGAAGGGAAGCACAACAUUACAGUGAUGAAUCUAUUUGUGUUUGAAAGAUUGAACAAUUGAGGAGAUUGUAGAGGCAGUAAAAGGCUAGGUAGAUUUGCAGAAAACAUGGUGAAACGGUGAUAUGAGUCUUAUGUAUAAAGACAUGUACAUUAGGUUCAUGGAGACUAAAGCUUUGGUUGAGAGAAAAUUGAUCGUGAAGGGGUAAAAUGACUUUUUAGGAAGAUAAAAAACAUUUAUUAAGUACCAAAAAUCUGCUUAUAUCAACUAUCAAGUUUAGCAAUUAUCAAGUUUCAAAUAUACAAUGAACCGAGCAAUUAAAUAAAGCUAUAUCUAUAAUCUCAUAUCAAAAACUAUCCCAAAUGAGAAAAUGUUCCAUUGCAGGUAAUAUCAGCUUUUUACUUUUUCAACUAGGUAGUCAUACAAUUCCAUCUUUCCUAUCCUUGCUUUAAUGUGAAUGGAGUGUAUCCAGCCUGAAACAUGAACAUUCCUUUGUGUAAAGGGAGGUUUAUGUUGUUUCAAAAAGCAGAAAAUAUCAAAGUACAAACCUUGUCAGUGAUCUCUAAUGUUGUGUCAUAUGUCUUGAAGAUCUUAGUGAUUUCCAAGCACCGAUUGCUUGCAGCAAAGUGAAGAACAGUCCAACCUGCUUUAUCCAUGUUGUUGAUCAUAGAAUCAUCUGCACUUACUAGCAUUUUCACUACCUGCAACCAGGAAAUGAUUACACAACUUCACAGUGUGAAUGAUCUAGUAGAUUAAUAGCACCACUACAACCUACGAUUACAUAUUCUAAAUCCCCUAACUUCACUACCUCAAGACUAAAGUGACAAAGUCCGCUAACUUCUCCUUACAGUACACACAAUUUUUUCAAAGGUUUCUAACCGGUUAAAACCAGAUUAUGCAGUUAACUUCAUUACCUGAAGAUUCCACUCACAAAAAGCAUUUAUACGCUAAGGUUUCUCAUCAUUUGAUACAAGGGAAAUCACUUUUGUUUUGUAAGACUUCACAUCAUGCAUAAGAGGGCUUUGACCCUUUUUAUUUGAAACAUCAAUCAAUGCUCCUAUUUUGUAGCAGAUAGUCACAAUUCUCCAAUUUUCUUCGGUUAGUUGCUAUGUGAAGAUGUGUCCUUGAGUCUGUCAAUGUCAUUUAUUUCGGCACAUGUCAUAGAACACAUAAAUAAAGAUUUUUUGAAGCUGACUAUUCAAUAAAGAAAGAAACGAAAUAAGUUCAAUACCUUUGUUGAUAAGUGUUGACAUAAGCUCUAAAUUACCAAACCUAGCAGCUAUAUGUAGACUCUCGAUUAUAUUCUACCAUGAUUGCUCUAUCUUGUGAGAAGGUAAUACAUUGUAGAUUUUAUUGUGUGUCAUCUUGUCUCAUUGGUCUUUAGCAGAUGUCCAAGGCUAAAAAGGAGAGGAUUUAACGUAAAGAUGUACAUAAAAGAAAGAAAAAAGAAAAGAAAAGAGAGAGAGAACCUUGGCUUCAAGUUCUUCACACUUUCUCUUCCACUUUUUAAAAUGACUUUAUCUAUCUAUAUGAUAAUAUUUUGUUCCUUCUUUGUGCAUUUUAUAUAAAGAUUCAUAAAAUUUAAAGGAAAUCGUGUCUAUUAAAUUCAAUUGUAUUCCUUUAAAAUCUAAAAUAAAUCUUUUUGAGAAAUGCAUUAUAAUCUUCAACAAAUCAUUUAAAAUACUUAAAAAUCUAUUAUUUAUAUCUUCAGUUAAAUUUUUUAAAAAUUUGUUAAAUUCUUGAAUCUAAUACCAUCUCCAGAUACAUAGCCGAAAGAAUUAUUAUAAUAACUAAAGAAAAAUUAUUUCUAAUACGGCUCUAGCUCACCUUUAACAGUCUGUCAUUCUCUCAUAGUAAUGCUAUGUUUCUUUUUUAUUGCUUUGUUUCGUCUCUUUUCUACUCUCUAUGUUCGCAGCCGAGAUAUUUUUCGGAGUCAAUAUAUGGAUCGUUGAUGUAGACUUGGCCCUUCUUGCUCUGCAAAAUGAUGAUGAAGACUUGGUCUUUUAGUAGAAUAGGAUGAAGAAAAUAAACUUAAGAGCUAUAUGGUUUUGAAUCAUACUAUGCUUUGAGAGCAUUCUAUUUUAGAGUAAUAUAUAGAAAAAAAAAUUAUAGAGUACCAGUUGAGAUGGUUUGAUUAGGUCGUAACUUUUAUUGUCAACAAUUUGAAUUUCUUAAAAAUGAGAAAUUAAUAAUUUUAUUAUAAUAA
Molecule: long non-coding RNA, 2396 nt
Organism: Brassica napus (rape)
Lineage: Eukaryota; Viridiplantae; Streptophyta; Magnoliopsida; Brassicales; Brassicaceae
Exons: 2
Source: RefSeq, a predicted model, not a curated record